GACGAACGCUGGCGGCGUGCCUAAUACAUGCAAGUUGAGCGAUGAAGAUUGGUGCUUGCCCCAAUUUGAAGAGCAGCGAACGGGUGAGUAACGCGUGGGGAAUCUGCCUUUGAGCGGGGGACAACAUUUGGAAACGAAUGCUAAUACCGCAUAAUAACUUUAAACAUAAGUUUUAAGUUUGAAAGAUGCAAUUGCAUCACUCAAAGAUGAUCCCGCGUUGUAUUAGCUAGUUGGUGAGGUAAAGGCUCACCAAGGCGAUGAUACAUAGCCGACCUGAGAGGGUGAUCGGCCACAUUGGGACUGAGACACGGCCCAAACUCCUACGGGAGGCAGCAGUAGGGAAUCUUCGGCAAUGGACGAAAGUCUGACCGAGCAACGCCGCGUGAGUGAAGAAGGUUUUCGGAUCGUAAAACUCUGUUGGUAGAGAAGAACGUUGGUGAGAGUGGAAAGCUCAUCAAGUGACGGUAACUACCCAGAAAGGGACGGCUAACUACGUG
Molecule: ribosomal RNA, 497 nt
Filed under: uncultured bacterium
Lineage: Bacteria
Description: partial 16S ribosomal RNA
Rfam family: Bacterial small subunit ribosomal RNA
Source: RNAcentral